CCUACGGGAGGCUGCAGUGAGGAAUAUUGGGCAAUGGGGGCAACCCUGACCCAGCCAUGCCGCGUGAGUGAAGAAGGUCUUCGGAUUGUAAAGCUCUUUCGGCCGUGACGAUGAUGACGGUAGCGUCGAAAUAAGCACCGGCAAACUUCGUGCCAGCAGCCGCGGUAAUACGAAGGGUGCGAGCGUUGUUCGGAAUUACUGGGCGUAAAGGGAGUGUAGGCGGAUAUGUAAGAUAGCGGUGAAAUGCCGGGGCUCAACCCCGGAACUGCCAUUAUGACUAUGGAUCUAGAGUAAGGGAGAGGAUAGCGGAAGACCCAGUGUAGAGGUGAAAUUCGUAGAUAUUGGGUAGAACACCGGUGGCGAAGGCGGCCUACUGGACGGUGACUGACGCUGAGGCUCGAAAGCGUGGGGAGCAAACAGGAUUAGAUACCCGUGUAGUC
Molecule: ribosomal RNA, 440 nt
Filed under: uncultured bacterium
Lineage: Bacteria
Description: partial 16S ribosomal RNA
Rfam family: Bacterial small subunit ribosomal RNA
Source: RNAcentral